AGAAGGGGUUCUUUUUAUGUACUUUUUAAAUUAAUAAUCUUCAGUUUCCAGUACCAAUUAAAUAUGGUUAUUCUGUAUAUCCUACAUCUCAAGAAGUUUUUGCUUUGUUUUUACCAUGCCUCUGUUUUGGUUAAAUGUAUUCCAAUAUUUCCAUAUUUCUUUGUAUCGUAUGUUUCAAAUAAAAUCUUUAAAUGUUCUGAAAAA
This 204-nucleotide unclassified non-coding RNA is filed under the name Hevea brasiliensis (rubber tree). Lineage: Eukaryota; Viridiplantae; Streptophyta; Magnoliopsida; Malpighiales; Euphorbiaceae. The record is from RNAcentral.